GAUGAACGCUAGCGGCAGGCUUAAUACAUGCAAGUCGUACGGGAUCCGAGGUAGCAAUACUUUGGUGAGAGUGGCGCACGGGUGCGUAACACGUAUGCAACCUACCUUUAACCGGGACACAACCUCGAGAAAUUGAGGCUAAUAUCCCAUAACACUGCGAAAUGGCAUCAUUUUGCAGUUAAAACUCCGGUGGUUAUCGAUGGGCAUGCGCGACAUUAGCUAGUUGGUGAGGUAACGGCCCACCAAGGCUACGAUGUCUAGGGGUUCUGAGAGGAUUAUCCCCCACACUGGUACUGAGACACGGACCAGACUCCUACGGGAGGCAGCAGUAAGGAAUAUUGGUCAAUGGGCGCAAGCCUGACCCAGCCAUGCCGCGUGCAGGAUGACGGCGCUAUGCGUUGUAACUGCUUUUGUACAGGAAGAAACCCAUUUACGUGUAAGUGGUUGACGGUACUGUCAAAAAAGCAUCGGCUAACUCCGUG
RNAcentral lists this ribosomal RNA (482 nucleotides) under uncultured bacterium. RNAcentral describes it as "bacterial SSU rRNA". It matches the Rfam family "Bacterial small subunit ribosomal RNA", at positions 28 to 507 of the family's 1533-position model. The record is from RNAcentral.